RNAcentral lists this ribosomal RNA (253 nucleotides) under uncultured bacterium. RNAcentral describes it as "partial 16S ribosomal RNA". It matches the Rfam family "Bacterial small subunit ribosomal RNA", at positions 524 to 776 of the family's 1533-position model. The record is from RNAcentral.
UACGGAGGGAGCUAGCGUUGUUCGGAAUUACUGGGCGUAAAGCGCGCGUAGGCGGCUUUGUAAGUUAGAGGUGAAAGCCCGGAGCUCAACUCCGGAACUGCCAUUAAAACUGCAUCGCUUGAAUCCAGGAGAGGUGAGUGGAAUUCCGAGUGUAGAGGUGAAAUUCGUAGAUAUUCGGAAGAACACCAGUGGCGAAGGCGGCUCACUGGACUGGUAUUGACGCUGAGGUGCGAAAGCGUGGGGAGCAAACAGG